CCAGCAGCUGCGGUAAUUCCAGCUCCAAUAGCGUAUAUUAAAGUUGUUGCAGUUAAAAAGCUCGUAGUUGGAUUUCUGUACUACAGUAUUGGCCCGUUCCUCACGGGAUGUGUGUCGAUAUUUGUUGUACAUCUUUUUUAGAGAACUCUUCUAUCCUUCACUGGACGGAAGUUGGGAUCUAAAUCUUUUACUUUGAAAAAAUUAGAGUGUUCAAAGCAGGCUUAUGCCGUGAAUACAUUAGCAUGGAAUAAUAAGAUAGGACUUUGGUUCUAUUUUGUUGGCUUCUAGGACUGAAGUAAUGAUUGAUAGGGAUAGUUGGGGGUGCUCGUAUUCAGUGGCCAGAGGUGAAA
Molecule: ribosomal RNA, 350 nt
Filed under: uncultured eukaryote
Lineage: Eukaryota
Description: SSU rRNA
Rfam family: Eukaryotic small subunit ribosomal RNA
Source: RNAcentral